UGUGCCGGCCGACACACG
Molecule: unclassified non-coding RNA, 18 nt
Filed under: Chlamydomonas reinhardtii
Lineage: Eukaryota; Viridiplantae; Chlorophyta; Chlorophyceae; Chlamydomonadales; Chlamydomonadaceae
Description: small RNA Cre_3573
Source: RNAcentral